Molecule: ribosomal RNA, 237 nt
Filed under: Triticum aestivum (bread wheat)
Lineage: Eukaryota; Viridiplantae; Streptophyta; Magnoliopsida; Poales; Poaceae
Description: partial small subunit ribosomal RNA
Source: RNAcentral
AUGGCGCCGUUCGUGAGCAAGAACCCGAGGGGCGCGUACGUGAAUUACCGGGACCUUGACAUUCGUACGAACAAGGUGGUCGACGGCGCGACGAGCUAUGAAAGUGCCAAGGUGUGGGGCGAAAGUUAUUUCGGCCAGGAAAACUUUAGGAGACUAGCGAAGAUAAAGCGCAAGGUGGACGCCGACGACUACUUCCGGAGUGAGCAGAGCAUCCCACCACUUCCCUUGAAGCAGUAG